RNAcentral lists this ribosomal RNA (465 nucleotides) under uncultured bacterium. RNAcentral describes it as "partial 16S ribosomal RNA". It matches the Rfam family "Bacterial small subunit ribosomal RNA", at positions 28 to 507 of the family's 1533-position model. The record is from RNAcentral.
GACGAACGCUGGCGGCGUGCUUAACACAUGCGAGUCGAACGGAAAGGCCCCUUUGGGGGUACUCGAGUGGCGAACGGGUGAGUAACACGUGAGUAACCUGCCCUUGACUUCGGGAUAACUUCAGGAAACUGGGGCUAAUACCGGCUAGGAAUCCUUGCUGCAUGGUGGGGGUUGGAAAGCUUCGGCGGUUUUGGAUGGACUCGCGGCUUAUCUGCUUGUUGGUGGGGGAGUGGCUUACCAAGGCUUUGGCGGGUAGCCGGCCUGAGAGGGCGACCGGCCACAUUGGGACUGAGAUACGGCCCAGACUCCUACGGGGGGCAGCAGUGGGGAAUAUUGCACAAUGGGCGGGAGCCUGAUGCAGCAACGCCGCGUGCGGGAUGACGGCCUUCGGGUUGUAAACCGCUUUCAGCAGGGGCGAAGCUUGUGGUGACGGUACCUGCAGAAGAAGCACCGGCUAACUACGUG